Molecule: long non-coding RNA, 1921 nt
Organism: Alexandromys fortis (reed vole)
Lineage: Eukaryota; Metazoa; Chordata; Mammalia; Rodentia; Cricetidae
Exons: 4
Source: RefSeq, a predicted model, not a curated record
GCACCAUUACAGUGGAAUCUUUGCUGUGCCAGGAUGAUCAACGCUGGUGAGCUGGGACUAAAGAGUCAGCUGUGAUCAAGAAGAGAGCAGCCCAGUGAGACGCAGAAAUGAAACAGCCAAGGCCUGGGUGACCUGUGAGGUGCUCCCAAAGGGUUCUCUGCACUCUCUGCCAGCAGUGUGCAGUUCCCUCCUUCGCAGUUUCCUCAGCCCUGAGAUCAUCUGUCUGGUGGAUGCGGCCAUCCUGCACAGGAGUUUUCCAGUUACAGCGUCCUGGAGCCGCCACUGCUGCCUCAGGAGACGUUUUCUUCAAUGUCCUUUGCCACUCUAUCUUUAUCCGUGUUCUCCCUGGUCUACUUUAAUGCUACCUGGGAAGAAAAUUACUGAGGCCUGAAGUAACUUUGCAAAACACCCAUCCUAAACUACACAUCAGCCUCCGAGCCUGUGCGCAGAUUUAACCGAAGAUGGAGAAUGGAUGGCUCAACAUUCAUGAACUCAGGCUAUAACUCUGGCCAGUGCCCACUGGGUGGACAGAGUCUAUGCAGAAGCUGUUGCUAACUGUGGGAUGGCACCCUUGCCGAAGGUCUUGUUCUCCUCUUCUAAGCCCUUCUAAACCAUCCCUGUAGCAGCCCACUGUGACGCUGUUGCACGGUCACAGUGACAGCGCCACCUCUGUAGCUAGCUUGCUGAGCUGCGGGUCUGUUGUAGGCAGUCAACAUGGGUUUGCUCCUUGGGAAACCAGAACUGUCACCUUCCCAUUUCCAGGUGGGGAAAUGGGCUCAGAGAGGCGCUGUGGUUUUCCAAGGAUUACCCAGGCCAUGGGGCUGAGGAGUGUAGACUCCUAACUGGCACUAGAAUCUCUCUUUCUCUUCCCUCCCUCUCCUUUCCUGUUUUCUCUUUUCUCAGUUCCUUCCCUCUCCCUCUCCAUUCCUCCCCCAAUCUCUCUCCUUUCUCCUCUUCCCAUCUCUCUUCUCUCCUCCCCAACUCCCUGCUCUCUUUUCUUUUCUUUUCUUUUCUUUUCUUUUCUUUUCUUUUCUUUUCUUUUCUUUUCUUUUCUUUUCUGUUCCUCCCCCUUCCCCUCUCUCCCUCCUCCAUUUCUCGUUUUCCUCCUUCCCUCCCUGUUCCCUUUUGCUUCCUCCACUUAUUAAACAUCGAUGUGCAGGCUCUGCUUCUCCUCACUCACUGUGUUUCAGCUGCACACCCACGGGCAUUUAUCAGUCUCUCUCCAGUCUCGAUACACGCGAAUGUUAUCUGUGGAGGCCUGUAGUUGAUCUACUGACUGACCUGGGGUUUCCACAGUUUCUUCAGCUUUAAGUCAGAUUUUUUUUUGAGGGGGGAUGUAUCCCAGGAGGAUCCAGUUCAGAGGACUCAGAGCAGUGGACAGUGUAGGAAUUUGUGUGUGAAAAGGGAUACGGCUAUGGGUCCUCCCAGGAUUAGAAUCUACCCUUACUUUCUAAACCCAGCCCCUUCAGCCUUGUACCACCUUGCAUGGGGAAAUCAGAUCCUCUGUUUCUCCUCAACAAAGCUGGGUGUUCCCUGCCCCUCCAUUAAAGUGAUGCUGACUUUCCUAAAGUGUUGAACAAGCCAUGGUCACAUCUGCUCCCGAUGACAAGCAGGACCUUGUUCCCUUGCCUCUUCUCAGAGCUCAGCCCUUUCCAUCUUCAGAAUCCUCUUACCUGUCCUGUGGAGAACAGUUGAGCCAUGUUCUCUCCCCCAAUCAUCCCCACCCCAUCCGUUUUAUUUAACUAACAUUUAAUGCUCAAAUUGGGAGAACAGCGCGCACACACACACACACACACACACACACACACACCAAAACCUCCUCUUUGAUGGGCUAUUUUGAGAAUAAAGUUAUGUUCCAUAUCAUCUCAGCAGCAAAUAAUAAAGUCUUUAAUGAAUUCUGUAACUUCUGCCUUUUAGAUCA